Molecule: ribosomal RNA, 652 nt
Filed under: bacterium
Lineage: Bacteria
Description: bacterial SSU rRNA
Rfam family: Bacterial small subunit ribosomal RNA
Source: RNAcentral
UUGCUAGAGAUGAUUAGUGGCGGACGGGUGAGUAACAUUUAGGAAUCUACCUAGUAGUGGGGGAUAGCUCGGGGAAACUCGAAUUAAUACCGCAUACGACCUACGGGUGAAAGGGGGCGCAAGCUCUUGCUAUUAGAUGAGCCUAAAUCAGAUUAGCUAGUUGGUGGGGUAAAGGCCCACCAAGGCGACGAUCUGUAACUGGUCUGAGAGGAUGAUCAGUCACACCGGAACUGAGACACGGUCCGGACUCCUACGGGAGGCAGCAGUGGGGAAUAUUGGACAAUGGGGGCAACCCUGAUCCAGCCAUGCCGCGUGUGUGAAGAAGGCCUUUUGGUUGUAAAGCACUUUAAGCAGGGAGGAGAGGCUAAUGGUUAAUACCCAUUAGAUUAGACGUUACCUGCAGAAUAAGCACCGGCUAACUCUGUGCCAGCAGCCGCGGUAAUACAGAGGGUGCGAGCGUUAAUCGGAAUUACUGGGCGUAAAGCGAGUGUAGGUGGCUCAUUAAGUCACAUGUGAAAUCCCCGGGCUUAACCUGGGAACUGCAUGUGAUACUGGUGGUGCUAGAAUAUGUGAGAGGGAAGUAGAAUUCCAGGUGUAGCGGUGAAAUGCGUAGAGAUCUGGAGGAAUACCGAUGGCGAAGGCAGCUUCCUGG